RNAcentral lists this ribosomal RNA (156 nucleotides) under Fundulus heteroclitus (mummichog). RNAcentral's name for it is "5.8S ribosomal RNA (ENSFHEG00000023052.1)". It matches the Rfam family "5.8S ribosomal RNA". From Rfam's summary of the family: 5.8S ribosomal RNA (5.8S rRNA) is a component of the large subunit of the eukaryotic ribosome. It is transcribed by RNA polymerase I as part of the 45S precursor that also contains 18S and 28S rRNA. Functionally, it is thought that 5.8S rRNA may be involved in ribosome translocation. The record is from RNAcentral. Lineage: Eukaryota; Metazoa; Chordata; Actinopteri; Cyprinodontiformes; Fundulidae.
CACAAUGUGCAGUGGAUCACUCGGGUCGUCGAUCGAAGAAGAACGUUGCAAAAUGCGAUAAUUUCCGUGAAAUGCAGAUCUAUUUGAACGGAAAAACUUUGAACGCAAAUGGCAGCUGCGAAUACCAUAUUCGGAGCUACAUCCGUCUGAGGAUCG